RNAcentral lists this ribosomal RNA (351 nucleotides) under uncultured bacterium. RNAcentral describes it as "partial 16S ribosomal RNA". It matches the Rfam family "Bacterial small subunit ribosomal RNA", at positions 338 to 703 of the family's 1533-position model. The record is from RNAcentral.
CCUACGGGGCGCUGCAGUGGGGAAUAUUGGGCAAUGGAGGCAACUCUGACGCAGCAACGCCGCGUGAAUGAUGAAGGUCUUCGGAUUGUAAAGUUCUGUGAGGGGGGAUGAACACAAUGACGGUAACACAAUAGCAAGCCACGGCUAACUACGUGCCAGCAGCCGCGGUAAUACGUAGGUGGAAAGCGUUAUCCGGAAUGACUGGGCGUAAAGGGUGCGUAGGUGGUGUAGGAAGUUGGCGGUGUCAUUCCGGGGCUCAACCUCGGCGCUACCGCCCAAACUAUUAGACUAGAGUGCAGGAGUGGUAAGUUGAAUUCCUUGUGUAGCGGUGCAAUGCGUAGAUAUUCGGAG